Non-coding RNA from Nothobranchius furzeri (turquoise killifish), 8275 nucleotides. The record is from RefSeq and is a predicted model, not a curated record. Lineage: Eukaryota; Metazoa; Chordata; Actinopteri; Cyprinodontiformes; Nothobranchiidae.
AACAAAAUGGACGGAUUUGUCUCUUUCAUCUUGCAACAAAACGUCUGUUACCACCUGAUUAGAUAACCCAGACCCUCAUGCACAAAUGCUUCCAUGCACUGAACCCAAAUGGAUCCAGCAGCACAUCUUUCAGACUUCUCCAGUUUACUUUAGAAUUUUAGUUGCAAAUUAACACAUUGCAUUUUAACCAGAAGUAUUUUAGCACAAAUUUUUAAUUGGUGUUCAAGAUCUGUUAACAAUCAUUUAUUUUAAGUAUUGUACUUGGUUACAUCUGAAAUCAUAUAUGUCACUGAGAAAAAAAAGUAACUAAAACGAGUGAAUUAGUUCCGGGUGACUGUUCAUUCACCUCCACAAGCAGCAAAAGAAGAAAUUGUCCGUAAGCCCCGCCUACUUAUUGCGCAGCGCCGUCUGCCGGAUCUGAAAUCUUCACGGUCACACGCUAACCCUAACCCUAGCCUGAAUUUUAACAUGAAAAUAAAUAAAUGAAGUUAUCUUCUGACCAUAAGAGACCACCGCGGCUCCACAUUAAAACCAGGCUGAGAUGAUAAAUCGGAGUGAUGCAGAGCUCCAGGAGCUUCUCUCCGUUAAAGCUGAAGCUCUCGUCACCAGAGACUGCAGAGGGACCUCAUCCUGUUGCUGAACAUAGACCUGACCAACUCCAGGAACGCCAGAUCAUAAACCCAGAGCUACAAACUGUGCAACACAUUGAGAAGAAAAAUGGGUGUUAACUACGUUGUCAGGUAUUUUCAUGCUUUAGUUGUCAAACACAAAGAGAGUCCUCCCUGACUUUUCUUGAACAGUGUCUUCAUACACUAAUUAUGAUUUAUAUCCUCUGUAAUUUAGCAGUAGAAAGGUAGAGGGUGAAUCAUUGUAAAAACACACUGUGGCUAGUCAAAGUCAAAAACCGUAACCUUUCCUGAAGUGGAAGUGCUAACCACCAGCCUAAUGGCACACUUAACCAACACAGAGAAGACAAAGGGAAAACAAACACCAAAAAACCUGGGACAUGUCUGCCCACCCACUCACAUGCUGACCCAGAAAGACCCCCCAUCCCCAACCCGUCACCCAUGCACUAACGCUUUGAGACACAUGGUGAACCAGUGAUGUUUUGACAACAAUCUCAGUGUGAUUUUCAGUCCAUGGGUCAGACUUUAUGGAGCUCUAUUUCUUUCUUUUAGCUCACAUACCUUUUGCACACAUUUUUUCUCAGGUGCCUCAAGAUCUUCUGGAAUGUUUUCAGAUAUCAACUGUUCCAACUCAUCACAAGAUUUUAGGCUUUCAGUUGUGCCUAAACUGUUUCCUGCAGUUUUUCAUUAAAUAGUAGAUUAUGAUAGUAUGUUAUGGCUUUUAAAGGAGCCAAAGCCACUGAAUGUUAAUAAUGAUUUAAGAGGUAAGAACAUUUAAAAAGUAGUAAGGUCCGCUCCCUGUAUGCAACACUCACACCUUUACUAUUUAUUAUUUACUAUUCCUCACGUGGGGAGCUGGUGCAUAACAUGCAGUCGUCAAGAGUAAUAUUUUUGCAAGUUCUGCUUAUUCCUAUUACCCAAGAUAUAUUAGUCUCAAAUAAUUUCCCAUGACAUGCAAGUAUUUAGUCAAACCAAGCUCCAAGUCAAGGCCCCAAGACCCAUCUUUUCAGAGAUUAUCUCCAGCCCUAGCAGCUACCCAGCACUUCCCUUCACCUACUCUAUUGUGCUCUCUUUUGUGCACUCACUUCUAUGCUUGCACUCAAGUUCUACAUGGUUACCUAUGAAUGACAUACGCUGCUCAGCGCUGAUUGGUUCGGUUAGAAUUCUCAGGGGGUGGGGUUAUUAGAAUGGGAGUGUUACCAAGCCCUUUGCUUCCCAUUAGGACGCAUUGGCGUGGCUGGCCAGGCUACCUCUGACUUGCAUGCUCAAGGUCAGGGCUAUUCAGUUCCAGGCCUCGAGGGCCAGCAUCCAACACAUUUUAGUUUUAACCCUGCUUCAACACACCUGAUUUCAAUCAGCAGGUGAUUAACAGGCUUCUGCUGAGCCCGAUGAGUCGCUGUACAGAUGGCUCAACCACUAAAUCUAGUGUGUUGGAGCAGAGAAACCACUAAAACGUGCUAGAGACCGACCCUUGAGGCCCGAACUUGAAUAGUCCUGCUCUAGGUUAUUUAUUGCUAACCUCAAUAGUAAAGGCAUUGUUACACCCUUAAUUCUAAUUUGUCUGAAACAAAAGUGUCUGCCAAAUACAUGAACAGCAUAAACAUCUCAAUUUUCAAGACAGGUCUCAAUGCUUUGAGCGUUACAUUUUGAGCUCCAAACAAGUAAUUUAACCACAUUUAUCAUCUACUUAAAAAGUAAUGAGAGCAAUUUUCAGAACCAAAAUACUUCUUUUGUUUAAAUACACUAAAGUGCAUUCAAUUGAAAAAAACCACAAACACAACCAAACUUCGAAAAACCUAAGAAGCAGGUGCUGCAUGCCUCAUCUUCACAGUGUAAGAUACCGAGACUUUUCAAGUCACCAGGCUCACGUCAAAAUGAAGUAAUUUGUGUUAAAUUUCAAGUCAAGUCCCAAGUCUUUUUUUUCAUCAGGUUAGGACUUAAAUGAUCAAAAGUCCAAAUGGAGUACAUGUCUCAUGACUCAAGUCCACACCUUUGUGGUGUACUUUAGAAUGUAGUCAGUCCCUAACGCCACGAAAAUGGAGGCCGGGUGGCCCCACUUUACUCCGUCCACUGAUGCUACUCAUGCUGACUACAAUAGGAGUCCUUGUGGCCGCUGUUUUAUGUAAACAUUUCCAUAAAACAGACAUCAUUAUUGAGAACUUAAUAUUCUAAGCACAUGUUCCACAUUUUCAUCCUAUUCACCACUGUCAUGAAACAUGUUCCACAUGUGAAAAUCAACUUGUGACUGCAGAAAACUGUUUGCACAGAAAACAUUGGAGCUCUAUUAUGAUGCAUUGAUCCAUGAAAAGUCAAGUCUAAUGAAACUAGCGUGCAGGUAAUGUGGUCUGUUUAUAACACCAGUGAUGCAGCUCAACGUGUGUGGCAUCUUAACCAAACUGUACCCUAAGUUGACUCCCUGCUCAGCUAAUAGCUUAAUGCAUUUCAGGUGUGCUGCUAAUCACACUUUAUGAGCUCUCAGAGUUUACAGAGUUGGAUGCUUAUUCUGCAAAACGGUUGAUCUAAUAGAUGGCAACAAGAUGAGGGGAGAAAAUGGACUGGUUUUUUUUUUAAUGGAGUCCCUGGGAGAUGAUUUAGAACAUCUUAAGUUUUUAUAUGGAAUAACAUUAGAAAAUGUUGGUUUUUGGGUUUCAUUGUUUGCUCUUUGGGGAAAAGCACAAGACAGUUCUCAUUAGAAACUUUUCAUUUCAGCUUAUUAAUCUAACACAUGUAUAUGUUUUGAAGUAUUGAUUUGUACCUUUAAAACUUUAAAGAAAAGAGAUGGGUUCAUUUGCAACAACAUAGAAGCCACUUUUGAUCAAAGCGGAAUUUGCGAACAGCUGUUCCUCUCAUUGCCUCUGACUGAUGAGUAAAAUUGAGCUCUCUCUCUCUCUCUCUCUCUCUGUUUCUUAGCUCUUCCUCCUCCACAUCAUCAUGAAUCAAAACUCUCUGACCCAAUGUUCAGUCAAGACAAAAAAGAUGUGUGUAUGUUGUCUGUAUCCUAUAUAAUCAUCAUCAUCCUCCCUCGAAACUAGUACUCCUGGGUUAGAUCGAGGCAAUUACGGCCAAGUUGAUUGUCAUGGAGGAGCUAUAACUUCAUUUCCCGUCACAGUUUUAAGGGUUGAAUUACACCACACAGGAGACCCUCAUUCUCAACCUCUCACAGCCAUUUUGCAUGUGUGUUACUUGAGAAGACGCUUAAUAUUGUUUCUGCAUGGACCGUUUUUUCCCCCGAUCUUCCCUGGAUGUCAGCUACAAACUUACAGAAAACAAAGAGCUUUGCCAGAACGGAAAAUCCGUAUGAGUUAGAAGAUCUAGUGGAUAAACUGCCGAGGCUGCUGACUCAGCUCCACCGUACUGUCAGCCUUUAUUUAACGUGACUGGCCACUUGGUAAGGUGACAAGCAAUUAGAGCGGUAGUCAGCUGAGUAGCGUUGAGUAACAGGUGGGUCUUUUUUCAGUUUCUCGGAUUUGGAGUUGGGGUUUUCCAGAGGUGCCACCUUUUCUGACAUCAUUUACGGGACUUACUAUACAUUAGGACUGUCUUAAGGUUUAUUAGCAAAAAAGCUGGAGGACCAUCAACACUUGGCUCUUAAUAGCAGUUCAUGUUUUUGAACUAGGUUUCUGUAGAAAGGCAGUAACAAUAUUUAACUCAUUGGAUCGAAUUGACAAGUUGAUGGCUAGUUGAAGCAGAGUCAAGGUCAUAGUAUAUUUUCAAAACCAAUUUAAAGGUGCCCCAUGCAAUUUGCUUUUCAUUUAAACUUUACACAAUUAUCAAUUUAAUGUAAGACUGUUAGUUUGGCAGGAAUAUCAUACUGAUUCUCCUGGCCACAUGAAAGAACUAAUUAGCUGCUACUACAACAAGCUGCCUCUAGAGUCAAUUUUAAACUUCUACGUCAAGUUGGCGAUGGACAGAAGCAACACCAUGAUGUGCUGAUGCAAGGAGUAGUGAUGGAGACAUGCCUAAUUUUUUAACUAUCCGUCAAUAGCGGCCAAUCAUGAUCAGGAUGCCACUUCAUUUAAAUUUAUCAACAGCACCAUUGUUCAAAUACAUUAAACGAGUCCCAAGGCAUUUAGCAUCAGAUAUGGAUUGUCUCUUGGAAGAAGUCCAAUUAUAUGAACAUUGAUACAACUGUGACUGGAGGAGUACAAAGAUGCAGUAUUUUCUAAUAAAAAACAUUAACAUUGCCUUAUGGGGCAUCAUUCUCUUCAGGACAACCUGGACUAUCUGAAUUUGUACAUAAUGUGAUUGCACUUUGAACUUUAAGUCACAGUUUCAUAAAAUUAUUAGCAGGAAAGUAAAAAAAUCUUUACAUUUGUUUUUGUACAACUAUUUACACACGUCAAAAACAGAAAAAGAAAAAAAUAUAUAAUUGUGCCAAAAUAAGUGACAAUGCUGCAAAUUCUUUUGCAAUAUUUCAACACAUGCUUACACUUAUUUACAAAAGGAUAAGGGUUUGUUUGUGCCAUUGCAGAAGGUCACAUCUUAGGCCUGGCACUUCCAUAGGAUGUUGUGUACCUUUCUUGUCUAGGAGGCAGUGUUUACAUUUUAGUCUGCCUUCGGUGGUUUUUAGGGCAAGGUCUAUGUGCAAAUGGCCACAGGAACAUGAUCAGCUCUCAUUGGGGAGUACCUGCCUUAGUCAUGUGAAAAAGCUGACACAUAGCUCCACCAUGAAGUCUUUGCGUGUCUUGGCCUGCUCCUUCUUAACACUGCUCAGCUCACGGUGAAAGAUGAAGGCAUUUGUGGUAGCAAUAUCCAGAAAGUGUAGCAACAAGGUUCUGUACCAACGAUUAGUGUUUCUGUGAGUGCAGUGGUACGAAACGAGCUGGUCUACUCCUCCCAUGUUUUUAUUGUAGGCCACAACUGGGGUGUUUCUCAAUGCCAAGGCACCUGGCCUUGUGAGGCAAUGUCUUGCGAGGCCAGGCGCCUUGCUUACGAGGACACUGUCCUUCCUUGGUCAAAGAAAAUGGUUAAAUGGAACAGACUUACAUCACGUGACUGCAGCUUCAGCUGCAGUCACGUAACGUCACAUGACACGGGAGAUUACGUUAUAUUUUAUACGUAUUAGUCUCAAUAUAAAUAUAAAACAAGACUUUUACUUUUUAAAUUGUGUAUAUAUUAAAUUAAAUAUAUAAGUGAGUUACUACCCGCUAGCCACCGAAGCUGCAACUACUAAGCAACUUACCAACCAUAGAUAACUUCUUUGGAUCUAAAAAAACAUUUUAAAUUAGCUGACUUACUUUUAAACUUGAAAAUUGUCCCCGAAGUAGCAGCCGGCUUCUGAUCCGCCGUCCUUUUGAAAAUACAGCGGUGUAUUGUGGGUCAUUUUUGAACAAGGCUAGGCUACAAGGCACCUCCGGUGUAUCCUUGCUCAGCUAGCUAAACGACUAACAAAUGGAGAACACAUGCCUUGGUAGAACAUGAACAUUAAAACAUGUCUUGGCAGUUCCUGAUGACGUAUCUCCUAGGUAACCGGGGCAGGGCCAAGACAUCAAGGCAAGAUUCCUUGACAUUGAGAAUCACCCCUGGUGUUGGGCGGGGAAUCACUCUCACAGCCCAGCUGCCAUCUUGGUCCUUCACCCUUCUUUUUACAGUCUCUCCAGAAAAUGCAGGAUGGAUGGUGGAGCACACAGACACCUCACACAUAUCCAUCCAUUUAACAAAAACGAGCGGGCCUCCUAUAAUCCAUCUCACAGAUCCUCUUUGGGUUUUCUGGUGAGAGCAUUCACUCUCCCUCGGGGACAUCCUUUUCUGUUCUCCCGUCGGUGCCACAUGCUCCAAACUUCAUUUCUGCCAGAUCUGACAACAGUUUGGGACCAGAAUAAAAGGUGUCCAUGUAAAUAUGACAUCCUGUGCCAAGAGUGGAUGUCUGAAUCAGGCUCAUGACUAUCAUCAGAGAGCCCAUGCAUGCUCACGGUGAGAUUCAGUUUUGUCUGUGCUGAAUCUGAUGGCGUAGCACCUGCUUGAUUCAGCCAAAACAAACAUUUUCAUCCCCCAUUUAUUUGACUUUUUCUUGAUGCAUUGUUUAAUGCAGAUUUUUGCCACCAUACUUUCAUCUACAGCCAGCUCCCACCUUGAGUGGAAAUCAGCCUGGUGGGUGUUAUCAUAGAGAGACCUGACUCUAAUCAGCUUGUCAAAUUCAGUUGUUCGUUUCUUUCUGUCAUUUUCUGAAUUUUUCUUAGUGAUCACUAAUGUGGAUGUUCCAAAAUGUUGAACAGAGCCAGGCUGUCUCUUGGCAUGAGUUUGUUUGGAAGAGGCACAGACAACAUAUUGUUUUGUUUUCAAUAGUCCUGAAUACUGGGCAGGGACAUUAGUGACAUGUAAAUCAAGAGGCCAAAAAAUAUGCACAAAUCUUCUACUUAAAUUUCAGUACAUUUGAACUAUUUGCUGCCUCUUUGUUGGUGUUUUGGUAGAUUGCUUUGAACAUUUCAGCGGCAAGAAACAGUAACAAAAAGAUCUUUGGGGCUAUGGGAGGAAGGUCACUGUUCUGCGUGGCAGGUUCCACUGUUUCCAGGAGUCCAUUAUAUACCCAGCUGGCUCAGUCCCAGAGGGGCAUCCAGGAGCCCCUUCUCCUGUUGUCAUCGUUGAAAAAAUUUUGUCAAUCGCAUUGAGACCAACUGACCAGGUCCAUUUUUAAUAAUUUCCAGUUUCCAGAAAAAAUGCAGAAGCGCUGUACACCCAAAGACAGACAAAGAGCCUUGGGAUAAGAUAGGGAGGAGAGGAGGAAAAAAGCAUCUGUAUUCUCCAAGAGCCGGAAGAAGAAAAAAACACCUCAGACAGAACAUUAAAUUAAAAAGCUAUAUUAAAAAAAUACCUCUGUAACGGUAUGAAAUGACCGUUUUCCACCAAAAGUCAUUUCCCCCUCUCCUCUGACACAGGACUAGUCUGCAUGAGAUAUGGCCUCAAGGUCUCAUGCAUUUGUUAUAAACUUCUUCUUUCCAGCUCAACAGAAGAAUGAAGAAUGCACUCUCUCCUUUUAGUAAAUCAAAGAACUCUAUUUUAGUAAAGCUAAUCAAACAAAGUGUUAGUCAAUAAAUAAGAAGUGACCAAUCUGUGAAAUCUAAAUAUUAAUUACUUUAUUAUAAUCCUAUAGAAUAUAAUAAGUAAUAUGACUUUAAAUGUUUCCACUAAGACUGAUCUCAUGUAGCAUUAAAAGACAUGACGCAUUGCAUUCACUGAUCCAAUCUGCCAGAUCCGACGGAGGCGUGGUUUUGGUGGUGUUCGGUAAAUCUGUCAACUUUUCAUUCGACCAUAAGCCAAAACAUCCGAAGUAUAAAACCAUGCCCACGUCAUCUUUAACGCCAGUUCAAAGCGUUCUAGAGAAGUUGACGGAGUGGCCAAUCCGUAACUUUCCUCUUCAGCCAAAAGAACCAACGACAAGCCGGAUAAAAUCUGUUGCUGUUCCAACUGCUGCAACGGUUCCUUUCAGAAUAAAAGCUGAACCAUCACGACCCAGGUUUGGGUCUCACUAGAUGCCAACAAAACUGUUGUGACCUGGAAGUAUCUCAAAGACUGGUCUGGUCGGCAACCGCUGCUUUUCCUACCGACUUCGGUUCCAGAGAAGGUCAAGCUGGACCUCGACACUCCUGAUCUAGACGGGGACUUCCGCUAAGGGUAUGUAGGCUGACGAAAUGGCGUCUAAUGUGUUUAUG